Molecule: ribosomal RNA, 253 nt
Filed under: uncultured bacterium
Lineage: Bacteria
Description: partial 16S ribosomal RNA
Rfam family: Bacterial small subunit ribosomal RNA
Source: RNAcentral
UACGGGGGGGGCUAGCGUUGUUCGGAAUUACUGGGCGUAAAGGGCGCGUAGGCGGCCUACUAAGUCGGACGUGAAAUCCCUCGGCUCAACCGGGGAACUGCGUCCGAUACUGGUGGGCUCGAAUCCGGGAGAGGGAUGUGGAAUUCCAGGUGUAGCGGUGAAAUGCGUAGAUAUCUGGAGGAACACCGGUGGCGAAGGCGGCAUCCUGGACCGGUAUUGACGCUGAUGCGCGAAAGCAAGGGGAGCAAACGGG